RNA transcript from Phacochoerus africanus (Common warthog), 2464 nucleotides. It is a transcript of the gene named junctophilin-2-like, with no coding region annotated. Lineage: Eukaryota; Metazoa; Chordata; Mammalia; Artiodactyla; Suidae. The record is from RefSeq and is a predicted model, not a curated record. The transcript is spliced from 2 exons.
UGCCCUCAGGGGCUGCAGGGUCACUGCUUCCAUCCGCUUUCCUCCUCCUCCUCUCAAGGGAAAGGUGUGCCGACCAGGGUCUCAGAGGAGGCACGAGCGGGGGGAGCCAGGAACCUGCCCGAGAUGCUGGCUGGGGGCUGGAUGUUUAACCCUCUCCCAGGGAAGGCGGAGCGCCCGGCCUUGAGUGAUCAGGCAAGCCUGUCCCUGGGCACAGAGCCGGCAGAUUAGGUGGCUCUGGUGCCCUGGAAACGGGAGAUGGGUCAGCAGUGCCCGAGGCUGGGCAGCAACCUCCUUCCUGUCCCCUCUGAGCCUGGCCUGUGGGCUCAGCAGCUCAGCACUUUCUGCAAACCCCACACGCAGCAAACCUCCCGGCCAGGCGGUCAGCGGCACGCUUCCCGAGGGCCGGGCGGCCAGGCCGGGCUGUGAGCCUGGGACACGGCCCUCUUCCCCGGUCACCUCCCCGCCAUGCUGCCUCCUCCAGGGUCUCUGUGGUUCCCGGUCCCGCCUGCCCGGCCCGAGACCCUCCUCAAGUCCCAGGGGGAGCAAGAUGGCCAGGGCGGCCUCUUCUCCCCACUCGCUGGCUGUGCUCCUCUUUCUGCUGCAGAGAGCGGAGGGCGAGCCCCCAGGGGAGGACCCCCCAGAACCGCCUGGAGCCCAGCGGGCGGCCCGGCCCCAGGAAGCUGGAUCCGGACGACUGGCCAGAGUCUCUUGGGACGGGCAGCCCCGCUCGAGUAAGGCUUUGGCCACCUUGGCCUGGUUGUGGGGUUGUUUCUGGACCCCCAGUGGCCCCGCACUUCUGUGGGCCCUGGGUGCAGUCCCACUGGGGUUCUGUGAGGCCUGGUGGGGCCCCCGUGUGCCCUGAGGGUCACACGGGGACCCCAGGGUCACCCUGGAAGGGGAGCAGCAAUGAGUGUUCAGCCAGUGUUGUCACCUAGGGGACCCCAGGCCAAGCUGUGCGCAGGCCCCUCAGCCACCUGCACCCAGCCUCUCCGUCUCAGAUCAGGACGCAGGUUCCGGCUGCCCCCGGAUGUGGCUCGUCCUCCAGCCGUUCGGGCAGAGACACCCCCACACCCCGGCACAGCUUCCGUAGGAGGUGGUCAGCGAGGCCCCCGGGCAGGCCAUCUCCACGGCCCCAGGACCCCUUGAGCUGCUGACCCUCUGCUGCCGUGGGAGACGGGAAGGAAGUGGAAGCUUCCAGGAGGAUGGGGAAGGGGGUGUGGCUGGGAGGGUGGGGCGAGAGCGUGUAAUGGCACGGGUGGAGGGUCUUCCGUGGGGACAAGGGCGCUGGGGAAAGAGACAGGGUUUGGGGGAGCGCGAGGAGGAUGGGCGGGGCCUUGGGGAAGAGGUCGGACCACCAGGCGGAGGGCUGUCGGGCUCGGGAGGAUGGAGCCCCCAUGGCCGGAGGCGAGGGCCUCCUCGCGGCCACCCUUAGGGGAGAGGCCCUAAAGGCCGGGCGGGGAGGACGGGCAGAGCAGGGUCCGUCCGGGGAGCAUGAUCUCCCUUCUCUGGGGGAAGCUAGGCGGGCACCAUUUUGUGCCAUGAGGAGACAGGACACAGAACGCAGCGACGUGCCUGCGUCUUGGAGGCUGUCAGGGCAGAGCAGGGGGGUGUGGGUGGGGCCGAGAGGCCUGGACCACAUUCUGCCGCCUGGCUGCCCCACCUGGAGGCUGGCGCAUCUUGGGAAGACGCAGGGAGCAGGGAGGGAGAAGGGGCUCUGGAGGGCUCUGUGUCCAGAGCUGGCCGCAGCCCUCACCAGGCGGAGGGUGGGGUGCGGGGGACAGGGGUCCAGGGGCCGUACCCCCCGGAUGAAGGGAACCUUGUCCCUCGGGGCCAAGAAGAAGCCCUGCCUGGCCCAGGAGUGUUGAAAUGACUCAGCCCACAGAGUGGGUAGAGACACGGAGACGAUGACGCCAGGGCCGGACAGGCGCCCAUCUCUCAGGCCCGCCCGUGAAGAGGCCACCCCGCCCGCCUCCCGGCCGCCACCCGGCUGCCGCCUUGCACAUUCCUGUGGUCACCCAGGAGGGCUCCAGGACGAGGGGAUGGGGACGCCGAGGGACCCCCGGCUUGGGUGCGCGAGCCCGUCCCUGGGGCCCCGGGCCCCUGGCUCUGUCACCUGCUGCCGGCUUCCUGGGCUGCAGGGAGGGGCCUUCCCAGGGCGAGGACGGUGAGGAAGGCACUCUGCCCCCUUCCGCCUGUCAGAGGUGGGGCCUCGAUGGCGGCUUUAACGACACGUGUACUCCAGAUCAGCUUCGGGGAGUGGUGGCAGAGGGACCGCAGGUGACAAGGAAGGACCAGGAUCUGAUGCCCCUUCCCCCACCCCGCUCCCUUUCUUCUGGCCCAUUCCCAGGAUGGGCUCUGCCUCCCAUUCACCUCCCUCUGGGCUCCGGGGUGGACCCAGUUCAGUUCCACUCUGGCAAAGCCCCCAAGGUGCUAGCCCAGAGGGGCGGGGGCAGGGCAGCGCCCC